RNAcentral lists this ribosomal RNA (408 nucleotides) under Triticum aestivum (bread wheat). RNAcentral describes it as "partial small subunit ribosomal RNA". Lineage: Eukaryota; Viridiplantae; Streptophyta; Magnoliopsida; Poales; Poaceae. The record is from RNAcentral.
AUGGAAGUAUUUUCAAACAGGGCCUGGACAGAAAAACUGAAAGCGCAUUACAAAGGAAUACGUUUCCAGGAAGUGAAAACACCAUUCCGGCUAAAGGAACACCAAAAUCCGCUUUUGGAAAAUGAAGACGUAAUCCCGAGGCUCACGCAUCCACUUAUCCACGUCAGCGUACCUGGGGGUCAACGCGUGGCAGCUGACGAGUGGGGUCAUGGGGCCCAUGGCCAGCUGGCGAGGGGGGCGUCAUAUCCUUCCUCUCGCCCGCGCCUAGCCGCGGAAGAGCCGGGCCCGACGAGGCCUGCCGAAGCUACAGGGCACCUCCGGCAAGGCUCUGCCUAUGGAAAUGCUCAGCGUCAAGCGACGCGUCGAACGGUCCCAUCCACGGUCGCCGGGAUGGACCGAGUCGACUGA